This 120-nucleotide ribosomal RNA is filed under the name Helianthus annuus (common sunflower). The record is from RNAcentral. Lineage: Eukaryota; Viridiplantae; Streptophyta; Magnoliopsida; Asterales; Asteraceae.
GGUUGCGAUCAUACCAGCACUAAUGCACCAGAUCCCAUCAGAACUCCGCAGUUAAGCGUGCUUGGGCGAGAGUAGUACUAGGAUGGGUGACCCUCUGGGAAGUCCUCGUGUUACACCCUC